RNAcentral lists this transfer RNA (73 nucleotides) under Podarcis lilfordi (Lilford's wall lizard). It matches the Rfam family "tRNA". Rfam says of the family: Transfer RNA (tRNA) molecules are approximately 80 nucleotides in length. The record is from Rfam by way of RNAcentral. Lineage: Eukaryota; Metazoa; Chordata; Lepidosauria; Squamata; Lacertidae.
GCUGGAAUAGCUCAGUUGGUAGAGCAUAAGACUCAUAAUCUCAGGAUUGUGGGUUCAAGCCCCAUGUUGGGCA